UGGUGGGAUCCAUGCCUGGUUCAUUUUAAUAAAUGUGAGCUUGUCCACGUUGGCUGUGGACAGGAGGGUGCGCUUGUCUGUGAUAUCGCCCCUGGCGACGUAGCAUUCGGAUUUCUGCCCUAUCAACUUUCGAUGUUACUUUCUGCGCCUACCAUGGUGAUCACGGGUAACGGGGAAUCAGGGUUCGAUUCCGGAGAGGAAGCCUGAGAAAUGGCUACCACAUCCAAGGAAGGCAGCAGGAGUGCAAAUUACCCACUCCCGAUGCGGGGUGGUAAUGA
This is a non-coding RNA of Pelobates cultripes (western spadefoot toad), 278 nucleotides long. Lineage: Eukaryota; Metazoa; Chordata; Amphibia; Anura; Pelobatidae. The record is from the annotation of a GenBank genome assembly.